This is a long non-coding RNA of Neopelma chrysocephalum (saffron-crested tyrant-manakin), 167 nucleotides long. RefSeq lists it as uncharacterized. The transcript is spliced from 2 exons. NCBI's taxonomy places the organism in Eukaryota, Metazoa, Chordata, Aves, Passeriformes, Pipridae. The record is from RefSeq and is a predicted model, not a curated record.
UGCCCCAAGAAGACCAGCUGUGAGCAGCCCUUCUCCUCUGGAGUGAAAAUGCCACCCUUUGAUGCAAAUGGCUUCUUAUGUCCUGCUCUCUAUGCCUCUACAACCUUGAACUCUAGGCUUGGCUCAUUCUGAAGGUAUGAAUAAAGCUAUCUGUUUUGGUUAGUCUA